Molecule: long non-coding RNA, 2400 nt
Filed under: Sitophilus oryzae (rice weevil)
Lineage: Eukaryota; Metazoa; Arthropoda; Insecta; Coleoptera; Curculionidae
Description: uncharacterized LOC115877158
Source: RNAcentral
CUUUAUAAUAUUAUUUUACUUUUUAAGUACCUACAUUUUGUUUACUGAGUUGCGAAAUAGUAAUAUAGUAAUAUUUGUUAAAACGCGUGUAUUAAUUAAAAUAAGCACAAAUUAAGUUAAAGGCAUAAAACACAAUACAAUAACACCACCACUGGAUUAUUCAAUAGUAGUGACUGUUUCCACCAGAGAAUAGGUUUCCACUAUUUCAGAGACUAUUUCUAGGGAGAGACAUAAAUUAUAAUGUCUUAUUAUUUUGCCUAUUUUGAUUUGUUGAAGACCGAUAAAGGGCGAUUAUUUACUUUAUCAGCUUUGAAAAUUAAAAUUUUAAUUUCUCUUUGAUUUAGAUUGUUGUUACUUAUUGAUGGUAAAAUCAUGAAUACUUGCAACAAGUGUUUGAAAACAUUUUCCAAUAUAGGAAAUUAGAAUAAACAUUUAAAGAUGAUGCUAUUUUAGUAUAUGAAAAGGAUGAAAAAUCCUUUCAGUGCUUAGAAGGGUGUAAUAUUUCUUUUAGGUCUAAUAAGGAUUUAAUAACUGAUUUAUGUACAGUACAUAAAUUAAAAAUGGAAACUGAAGAGUUACAUUUCCCUAAUAUUGAAGAAUUCCAUAUAUUUUUAAAUAAGCUACAUAUUUCCCAGAACGUUGAAUAUGUUCAAAAUUGUGGAAAGCAAGAGAAAAAAAUUAUUGUUAUGAAUGAGAAUGGGUUGUGUGUGUGAAGAGGUUAUUGAAAUUAUAUAUAUUUGAAAUGUAAUCGUCAUUGUAAGAUAUCUUUCUUCACAGCAUAGCAACUGCUAUAAUUAAAGUUUCAAAGCAAAGUUAUAUAAUUUUCAUACAAGCUGUUGGGAAUACCAAAAAAUUGGCCAGCCGAAAUUUACUUAUAAUCAAAGAUCAUUAUAAUAAGACAUAUACAAUAUUUUGCUGAUAAGUCAGUCAUAACUUUAUGUACCAUUUCUUGUUACAUAAGUCUAUAUGGAUGAGGACACAACCAAGAAAUCUACAGUUUACAUUAUAGAAAUUAUAUAAAACCAUCAGAGCCUCGUCAAAGAGCAAUUAAGCUAACAGGGUCAUGUAAACUGAAUAGAAGUUGCACAAGUGAAAUCAAGGUUGUGUCUAAUGAGAGCACAUUGAAGGUUUCUGCUACGUUUUUAAAAUCACAUUAUAGACAUGAAAAGACUGAAAAGGCUGAUAUUGCUCAGAAACUUGCAAGUGGCAUUAGUAUAAGUCGGUAAGUACACAGAAAUGCCUACGGUAUAAUAAUUUGACAAUGUUUCUAUUAAUCACAUUAUUAUGUUUUUGGAAUUCUUAGUAUGAACAGGGAUCACUUUAAUCCCGAAAACCUUAAUAGAACUAAUUUAUUAAGACGUAGUGAUAUACAUAAUAUUAAACGUUCAUUCAAUAUUGAAAUAUAUGAGGGUGUAAGACAUACAGAAGAUGCUGUUAGUGUAGAUAUGUUUGUUCAGGAAUGUUCAAACCUGGAAAGCAAUCCUAUAAUAUUUUAUAAACCACAGGGAGUUGAAAAUGAAGGUAUUUUAAAAAAGGAGGAUUUUUGCAUCAUUAUAAUGAACAGAGUGCAACAAGACAUAUUGAAAAUGUUUGCGGAAAACAUAGUUGCAAUAGACAGUACUCAUGGAAUGAAUGCUUACGAUUUUGAACUAACAACACUUUUAGUGGUGGAUGAGUGGGGUGAGGGAUUUCCUGGAGCAUGUAUGUUAACAAACCGUAAAGAUACAUUAGUUUUUCAAUUGAUGUUUAAAAAUAUUAGAGAUAAUAUUGGUAUUUUAAAACCAAAGGUUUUUAUGUCUGAUAUUACACAUGUCUUUUAUAAUGCUUGGAAACAAGAAAUGGGUGAAGUGUCAUCACAACUAUAUUGUGCAUGGCACGUAGAUCGUGCGUGGCGUUCUAAUUUAAGUAAAGUAAAUUCACCAGAACUUAAAACUUUAGUCUAUCAGUCAUUAAAAGUAUUACAGACAACAAACUCUAAAGAAGAAUUUCAUGAAUUAUUAACAAAGAGUGUAAAUGAUUGGGGUGAGAAUGAAGCCAACUUUUAAUUUUGGACAAUAUUUUGCAGGAAAUUAUUUAUCAAAUUAUAUGCAAUGGACAUAUUGUUAUCGCUUAAAUUGUGGAAAUAAUACUAAUAUGCGUUUAAAAAAUAUGCACAAAGUGUUAAAACAUAUAUAUUUAGACGGCAAAAAGGUAAAAAGAUUAGAUAAAUGUUUAAAUGCUUUAAAUUUGUUUAUUAGAGAUAAAGCACUCGAAAAAGUAAUCAAGAAAAUUAAAGGCAAAAAUUCAAUCCAUUUAAGAACAAUUAAAUCAAGACAUGAUAUUGCAGUAAAAAGUAAUUGUGAAGUUAGAGAUAUUAUAGAUGAAAAUGAUAGUGCUACCUAUAAAUGAUCUGUAUCUAGU